This is a non-coding RNA of Pelobates cultripes (western spadefoot toad), 259 nucleotides long. The record is from the annotation of a GenBank genome assembly. Lineage: Eukaryota; Metazoa; Chordata; Amphibia; Anura; Pelobatidae.
CUGCAAGUGUCUGUAAAGGUCCUCAGCAUCUGUUUGAGGGACCUGUUUGAGGGAGUUAAAGCGCUCGCAGAGACCGUUAGUCUGUGGGUGGUAGGGUGAGCUAAGUAACGGCUUAAUGCCACACACCUUCCACAGCUGCUGGGUGAGCACAGCGGUGAAUUGGGUUCCCUGGUCGGAGAGAAUCUCCUUAGGAAACCCGACCCUAGUAAAAAUUCUAACCAGGGCAUCAGCAACCGCCUCUGCCUCUAUAUUAGACUGC